CCAGACUCCUACGGGAGGCAGCAGUGGGGAAUAUUGGGCAAUGGGCGCAAGCCUGACCCAGCAACGCCGCGUGAAGGAAGAAGGCUUUCGGGUUGUAAACUUCUUUUAAGAGGGACGAAACAAAUGACGGUACCUCUUGAAUAAGCCACGGCUAACUACGUGCCAGCAGCCGCGGUAAUACGUAGGUGGCAAGCGUUAUCCGGAUUUAUUGGGUGUAAAGGGCGUGUAGGCGGGAAAGCAAGUCAGAUGUGAAAACUAUGGGCUCAACCCAUAGCCUGCAUUUGAAACUGUUUUUCUUGAGUGCUGGAGAGGCAAUCGGAAUUCCGUGUGUAGCGGUGAAAUGCGUAGAUAUACGGAGGAACACCAGUGGCGAAGGCGGCCUGCUGGACGACAACUGACGGUGAGGCGCGAAAGCGUGGGGAGCAAACAGGAUUAGAUACCCCGGUAAG
Molecule: ribosomal RNA, 449 nt
Filed under: uncultured bacterium
Lineage: Bacteria
Description: bacterial SSU rRNA
Rfam family: Bacterial small subunit ribosomal RNA
Source: RNAcentral